RNAcentral lists this long non-coding RNA (207 nucleotides) under Elaeis guineensis (African oil palm). RNAcentral's name for it is "long non-coding RNA (EGUI_LNC063917)". The record is from RNAcentral. Lineage: Eukaryota; Viridiplantae; Streptophyta; Magnoliopsida; Arecales; Arecaceae.
CAGGGACCCAUAAUCCAUGAGCUGGUAGUUGAUGUUCCUCUACCACCUCAUAGAUCUAGCAAGAUCUUCUGACCUUCUGAAGGGUACAUGGAUAUGCUUACGGAAGAAGUAAAGGAAAUGUUCCGUAUGGGAGAUAGAGGUUAUAUUGAUGAUCCUAAUACCUUUGACGAGGAGAUGUUUAACAUCGAUUUCAAAAAAUGAUUAGAU